GCCUCAUUAGCGCAGUAGGCAGCGUGUCAGUCUCAUAAUCUGAAGGUCGUGAGUUCGAUCCUCACACGAGGCA
RNAcentral lists this transfer RNA (73 nucleotides) under Saccoglossus kowalevskii. RNAcentral's name for it is "tRNA-Met". It matches the Rfam family "tRNA". From Rfam's summary of the family: Transfer RNA (tRNA) molecules are approximately 80 nucleotides in length. Lineage: Eukaryota; Metazoa; Hemichordata; Enteropneusta; Harrimaniidae. The record is from RNAcentral.